GAGUUUGAUCCUGGCUCAGGACGAACGCUGGCGGCGUGCCUAAUACAUGCAAGUCGAACGAACUCUGGUAUUGAUUGGUGCUUGCAUCAUGAUUUACAUUUGAGUGAGUGGCGAACUGGUGAGUAACACGUGGGAAACCUGCCCAGAAGCGGGGGAUAACACCUGGAAACAGAUGCUAAUACCGCAUAACAACUUGGACCGCAUGGUCCGAGUUUGAAAGAUGGCUUCGGCUAUCACUUUUGGAUGGUCCCGCGGCGUAUUAGCUAGAUGGUGGGGUAACGGCUCACCAUGGCAAUGAUACGUAGCCGACCUGAGAGGGUAAUCGGCCACAUUGGGACUGAGACACGGCCCAAACUCCUACGGGAGGCAGCAGUAGGGAAUCUUCCACAAUGGACGAAAGUCUGAUGGAGCAACGCCGCGUGAGUGAAGAAGGGUUUCGGCUCGUAAAACUCUGUUGUUAAAGAAGAACAUAUCUGAGAGUAACUGUUCAGGUAUUGACGGUAUUUAACCAGAAAGCCACGGCUAACUACGUGCCAGCAGCCGCGGUAAUACGUAGGUGGCAAGCGUUGUCCGGAUUUAUUGGGCGUAAAGCGAGCGCAGGCGGUUUUUUAAGUCUGAUGUGAAAGCCUUCGGCUCAACCGAAGAAGUGCAUCGGAAACUGGGAAACUUGAGUGCAGAAGAGGACAGUGGAACUCCAUGUGUAGCGGUGAAAUGCGUAGAUAUAUGGAAGAACACCAGUGGCGAAGGCGGCUGUCUGGUCUGUAACUGACGCUGAGGCUCGAAAGUAUGGGUAGCAAACAGGAUUAGAUACCCUGGUAGUCCAUACCGUAAACGAUGAAUGCUAAGUGUUGGAGGGUUUCCGCCCUUCAGUGCUGCAGCUAACGCAUUAAGCAUUCCGCCUGGGGAGUACGGCCGCAAGGCUGAAACUCAAAGGAAUUGACGGGGGCCCGCACAAGCGGUGGAGCAUGUGGUUUAAUUCGAAGCUACGCGAAGAACCUUACCAGGUCUUGACAUACUAUGCAAAUCUAAGAGAUUAGACGUUCCCUUCGGGGACAUGGAUACAGGUGGUGCAUGGUUGUCGUCAGCUCGUGUCGUGAGAUGUUGGGUUAAGUCCCGCAACGAGCGCAACCCUUAUUAUCAGUUGCCAGCAUUAAGUUGGGCACUCUGGUGAGACUGCCGGUGACAAACCGGAGGGAGGUGGGGAUGACGUCAAAUCAUCAUGCCCCUUAUGACCUGGGCUACACACGUGCUACAAUGGAUGGUACAACGAGUUGCGAACUCGCGAGAGUAAGCUAAUCUCUUAAAGCCAUUCUCAGUUCGGAUUGUAGGCUGCAACUCGCCUACAUGAAGUCGGAAUCGCUAGUAAUCGCGGAUCAGCAUGCCGCGGUGAAUACGUUCCCGGGCCUUGUACACACCGCCCGUCACACCAUGAGAGUUUGUAACACCCAAAGUCGGUGGGGUAACCUUUUAGGAACCAGCCGCCUAAGGUGGGACAGAUGAUUAGGGUGAAGUCGUAACAAGGUAGCCGUAG
RNAcentral lists this ribosomal RNA (1531 nucleotides) under Lactiplantibacillus pentosus. RNAcentral's name for it is "partial 16S ribosomal RNA". It matches the Rfam family "Bacterial small subunit ribosomal RNA". Lineage: Bacteria; Bacillati; Bacillota; Bacilli; Lactobacillales; Lactobacillaceae. The record is from RNAcentral.